RNAcentral lists this long non-coding RNA (554 nucleotides) under Pongo abelii (Sumatran orangutan). RNAcentral's name for it is "lincRNA". Lineage: Eukaryota; Metazoa; Chordata; Mammalia; Primates; Hominidae. The record is from RNAcentral.
AAUGCUGCAAGUUCUCCUCUGGCAGGGAGCAGAGCUUCCAGGCAUUAUGAUCUGUCCUGCCUGUCUGGAUAGAACUUCUGCUCCAUACUAUUGGAUAUUAUGGAUCUUUCAAACAGAAUGCCAAACUAUAAAGAUGUGUGGAACAUGAGCACAACAUAUACUAUGUGAGUAAAGAAGCUACAGGCUGCGGGUAAUAGGAGAACUACUUCAAAGCAGCUAUGGGAAAGCUAAAAGGGGUUAGAAGUAGGGGAAGGUUAUUAGAACGUCAUUAGGCCAUUUCAUGGAACCCAAGAGCAGAAAGGCCACAGAUGUAUGGACUGGAACCAGGAUUGGAGUAUGGGGGAGCCCUGCAUGGAUUGGUGACUUUUUCCCCAGAGUGUGGGUUCAUGCCUCUUUAGCUGCAGAUCAGUACUCUCUACAUAGGUCUAUAGGACAGAAAAGGAUGGCCAAGAGCUCCUGAAUUUUACAUGUUCCAGUCCAGGGACUAAAGAGAUUUCUCUUUCCAACCCAGUCUACAAAAUUGAUGAGGAAGAAACAGAAAUUUCCCCAGGUCA